This 497-nucleotide ribosomal RNA is filed under the name uncultured bacterium. Its description in RNAcentral is "partial 16S ribosomal RNA". It matches the Rfam family "Bacterial small subunit ribosomal RNA", at positions 28 to 507 of the family's 1533-position model. The record is from RNAcentral.
GAUGAACGCUGGCUGCGUGCCUAAUACAUGCAAGUCGAGCGAACGGACGAGAAGCUUGCUUCUCUGAUGUUAGCGGCGGACGGGUGAGUAACACGUGGGUAACCUACCUAUCAGACUGUGAUAACUUCGGGAAACCGGAGCUAAUUCCUGAUUCUUUUUUGAACCGCAUGGUUCCAAAGUGAAAGACGGUCUUUCUGUCACUUAUAGUUGGGUCCGCGCUGCAUUAGAUAGUUGGGAAGGUAACGGCUUACCAAGGCAACGAUGCAUAGCCGACCUGAGAGGGGGAUAGGCCACCCUAGAAUGGAGACGAGGCCCAGACCAAUAAGGGAGGGAGCGGUAGGGAAACUAACGCAAGGGGAGAAAGGCUGACGGAGAAAAGCCGAGUGAGGGAUGAAGGGAUGCGGAUAGUAAAACUAUGUUAUUAGGGAAGAACAUAUGUGUAAGUAACUGGGCACAUAUUGACGGUACCGAAUCAGAAAGCCACGGCUAACUACGUG